This 28-nucleotide non-coding RNA is filed under the name Erwinia mallotivora. RNAcentral also lists the same sequence under 2 other names. The record is from RNAcentral. Lineage: Bacteria; Pseudomonadati; Pseudomonadota; Gammaproteobacteria; Enterobacterales; Erwiniaceae.
GUUCACUGCCGUAAAGGCAGCUUAGAAA